Prunus persica (peach) is the source of this 1736-nucleotide long non-coding RNA. RefSeq lists it as uncharacterized. NCBI's taxonomy places the organism in Eukaryota, Viridiplantae, Streptophyta, Magnoliopsida, Rosales, Rosaceae. The record is from RefSeq and is a predicted model, not a curated record. The transcript is spliced from 2 exons.
UGGAUGACUGUUUUUGUCUUUUUACAUAAUAAUUAAACUUAUAGCUUAAUAAUUUAAGAAUUAUGGUGAACAAAGAGAAGUUCGAGGUUUAAAUAUAAAAUCUCUUUCCCAAUCUCAUAUGGCUCUCUCUUGAAAGCAUUCCUUUUUCUUAUCUAAUCUCAGCCUGCAACUUGCAAGCCUAAACCUCAUCAUUCACAAUCCGACCCGGACCCCCUUUUUUCCCCACCCUCUAUUUGAAGUCUGGUCCCUAAACCCUCCUCAGACGGCCCCGUUUUAUCAUCACCAAUUCCCUCGGCUCAGCUCGGCAUUCAACCAUAACCAUUAUCGAAUCCCUUACGCUUCUCAUUGUUUGAUAUUCGAUUCCAGGUUUCUUAAUCCCAAUUGGUUUGGUAGUUUGAUAUUCGAUUCCACCGCCUUUUCCAUCUAAAAAAUCAAGGUACACAGAAUUCCGGGUCCCUCGCCUCCCUCUAAACCUCCCGUCUCAGAACACGAUUCUCUCUCGUCCCAAAAACCCAGUUGCCAGAAGCAGGAGCAGCAGUUGUUGAUUCUCAGAAGUGUAUUUACAAAUUGGGAGUUGAUUCUCAGGUGGGCGUAGGCCAAUGGUUUAUGAUGUUGAGAGGCAGAAUAGGGAUUGGACGAAGCUUCGGUACGAGCUUGAGGUUGGGAUCAAUCCUCUAAAUUGCGAUUCCUGGAGUCGUUACAUACGGCUAGAAGAAGAUAGUGCUCUAGCUCUAGCCCAUAACCACAGAAUUAGAGAGCUCUAUUCCAGAGCUUUAGCUCAUGUUCCUCCGCUUUGCAAGCUGCUUUGGAAGCGCUAUGUUGAUUUGUGGAUCGACUAUGCAUGGUAUGAGGAAUUUGUUGCUCCUGGAGGAGAUCUCGUGGAAUGAACCAGACAAGGGUAUAGGCAGUGCCUUGAAUUGAUUCCUCAUACCAAGUUUUCGUUUGUGAAAGCAUGGCUUCAUGCCACCCAGUUUGAGAUUCGACAGUUGAAUCUCGAGGGGGCGCGCAAGAUCCUUGGUGCGUCAAGAGACUGUGCACUUAAAGCUGCAAUAUUUGACAAGUACAUAGAGAUGGAGCUGACACUUGGGAAUGUAGAUCGAUGUCGGAAACUGUAUGAGAAUUAUCUGGAUUGGUCACCACGUAAUAGCAAUACAUGGGUCAAAUACGCAGAGCUAGAGAAGACUCUAGGUGAGGAAGAACGAGCAAGGGGGAUUUUCGAAAUUGCCCUUGGGCAGUCGCAACUUAACAAGCCUGGAUUGUUGUGGAAGGCUUACAUUAACUUUGAGAGAUGAGAGGGUGAGGUUGAGAGAGCUAGACAGAUUUACGAGAGACUCCUAGACCGGAUACAGCACCAAAAUGUGUGGCUUAGGUAUGCAAAAUUUGAGGCACAAGGUCAUCAAUCCAAGGAUUCUCUUGUUGCACAAGAAAGAGAGGAACAAUGUGCAUGCAUUCAGCGUUGUAGAGGAGUUUUCGAGAGAGCUGUCCAGUACUUGGAUAUGAAUAAAUUGAAGGUAGAAAGGUUGAUGUUGCUAAAAGAAUGGUUGAUAAUGGAGGCUAGCUUUGGGGAUAUGGGUGAUGUUAGCCUAGUCAAAGCUAAGUUUCCAAUUAAUUCAAUGCGAAGAGGAAGAGGCCUUGCAUCCACUCUCCCAUCCCCUCUCCAUCUCCGUUGUUCUCAUCAAUACUUGUCCAGAAAGUAAUCAUCCUUUAAAUUCAAUGCUUGUUUACAUUUUUGUUUA